GGCUCUCUAGGGAACAAUCCUGAGAUGAGGAGACAAGUACAAGAUGGAUUGAGGAAAUGCUCCCACAGGGCAGCUGGCAGGGAGCAGGAGAGUGGGGAGAACAGUGAGGCAGGGUCUUAAGUGCAAUCAAGCCUUACUGCAGCCCAUGGGGAAGCUCUGCCAUUUAAACUCUGCUUCCGACUUUAUUCCCACUCCAAUCAGAGGGACUCAUCGACUAAGAAACUGGGUUAGGGUGGGAUCAGCUCCCAAGAAUUUCCAGCUUCCUCCAGCUGUCCAAGAACAGGCUUCUGGAAAGUUCCAUGUGAGGAAGUACAUUUCCACAGCGCCAUGACCACAGGGUGGGAUGAACUCAGCGCCUCACGCACGCGCUGUGCCGCGUGCCUACCUGUCCUUCCAUCCUGCCGUCCGGACAUCCCAUGCCUGCCUGUCAUGCAGCCGAGACUGAGAGCUAUCCAUCCGCCAAAAGAAGAAACUGAGAGCCAAACACAGGAGGGAGAGAAAGAGCCACGAGCACCCCACAUCGUGAAACCAGCACCCGGGCUUCUGACUGUGAAGCCCCUUCUGAAUUCCCCAGACAGGAAGCCCAGUCGUGGUUGCCAGGCACCCAGGAAAGGCAGAAGUGAGCAGUCAGGACUCACCGACAUAGGGUUUCUUUGUGGGGUGAUGAGAGCAUUCUAAAAUUAGGGUGGCGAUGAUUCACAA
Long non-coding RNA from Peromyscus eremicus (cactus mouse), 702 nucleotides. RefSeq lists it as uncharacterized. The transcript has 2 exons. The record is from RefSeq and is a predicted model, not a curated record. Lineage: Eukaryota; Metazoa; Chordata; Mammalia; Rodentia; Cricetidae.